UACGUAGGCAGCGAGCGUUGUUCGGAGUUACUGGGCGUAAAGCGCGCGCAGGCGGCAGAGCAAGUCGAGUGUGAAAGCCCCGGGCUUAACUUGGGAAUUGCGCUCGAAACUACUUUGCUGGAGUGUGGCAGAGGAAGGUGGAAUUCCACGUGUAGCGGUGAAAUGCGUAGAGAUGUGGAGGAACACCAAUGGCGAAGGCAGCCUUCUGGGCCAACACUGACGCUCAUGCACGAAAGCGUGGGGAGCAAACAGG
This 253-nucleotide ribosomal RNA is filed under the name uncultured bacterium. RNAcentral's name for it is "partial 16S ribosomal RNA". It matches the Rfam family "Bacterial small subunit ribosomal RNA", at positions 524 to 776 of the family's 1533-position model. The record is from RNAcentral.